AUGUUAUUUAAUACACCACAGAAUAAUUUGAGCAAAUUCGAUCGUAGCAGGUCUAAACAUGCAAGAUUAGCAUCACAAAUCAUAGCUUCUAUAACAUCAGAGUCCAUAGCAUCAGAGGUCGUACCUUUCGCAGUGUGUGAGUUUCUCAUUCCAGCACACAUACAUUGUCAUGUACCAGCUGUUUGUAGAGCUCAUCCCAGUGAGAAUUUGUAUCUUCUUUAG
Molecule: ribosomal RNA, 222 nt
Filed under: Triticum aestivum (bread wheat)
Lineage: Eukaryota; Viridiplantae; Streptophyta; Magnoliopsida; Poales; Poaceae
Description: partial small subunit ribosomal RNA
Source: RNAcentral